CUACCUUUCACCAAAUGGGUUUGCUCAAUGCCAUGCACCGCCUACUUCUCGUAAACGCGUUCUCUGCUCCGGUCCAACUUAUCCAUGUUUGCCAAUACUAUAUUACUUGAACAUAAACA
Molecule: long non-coding RNA, 119 nt
Organism: Haliotis rubra (blacklip abalone)
Lineage: Eukaryota; Metazoa; Mollusca; Gastropoda; Lepetellida; Haliotidae
Exons: 3
Source: RefSeq, a predicted model, not a curated record